Molecule: ribosomal RNA, 382 nt
Filed under: uncultured bacterium
Lineage: Bacteria
Description: bacterial SSU rRNA
Rfam family: Bacterial small subunit ribosomal RNA
Source: RNAcentral
GACGAACGCUGGCGGCGUGCUUAACACAUGCAAGUCGAGCGGUAAGGCCCUUUCGGGGGUACACGAGCGGCGAACGGGUGAGUAACACGUGGGUGGCCUGCCCUCAGCUCUGGGAUAAGCCUGGGAAACCGGGUCUAAUACUGGAUAUGACUCCAUGACGCAUGUUGUGGGGUGGAAAGCCUUGUGCGGCUGAGGAUGGGCCCGCGGCCUAUCAGCUUGUUGGUGGGGUGANGGCCUACCAAGGCGACGACGGGUAGCCGGCCUGAGAGGGCGACCGGCCACACUGGGACUGAGACACGGCCCAGACUCCUACGGGAGGCAGCAGUGGGGAAUCUUGCGCAAUGGGCGAAAGCCUGACGCAGCGACGCCGCGUGAGGGAUGA